CCCGUGGAGACUUUUAGGUUAAUUUAGAUCUCAAGAUAUAUGACUCGACCCGACCCGAUCCGACCCAAACCGGAUCCAAAUAUAAGACCCGAACUCAGUUAGAAUGACUCAUCCAAAUAAGAAUUUGGACUUGGGCCAAAAAAGUGACUCACCCAAAUUCUUUCUUAAAUCUCUUACUAAAAUCUUUAAUACUGUCACAUUAUCACAAGAUCAU
This 214-nucleotide long non-coding RNA is filed under the name Elaeis guineensis (African oil palm). RNAcentral describes it as "long non-coding RNA (EGUI_LNC010314)". The record is from RNAcentral. Lineage: Eukaryota; Viridiplantae; Streptophyta; Magnoliopsida; Arecales; Arecaceae.